AUUUAUCACCAUAAUGAAUUAUUUAAAACAUUAGAUAUUAAUCAAAUAAAAAAAAAUGUAAAAAACCUUAACAGGCGUAUCUACGCAAUAAGAAGUGAUCACGAGGUUGCUGAAAAAAUUAAAAUGUGUUUCGACUGUUACAACACGCUGCUCACUGAAAAUAAACUUUAGAAAGGGCUAGAUAAUGGUCAUUAAAGUUCCCCAGUAAUAUAAAAAGGUGAAUAUUCAACAUAAACUAUUAGUUGAAGAAUCUAAUACUAUGAAGUACAGAACGUAACGCUUUGUGGUUCGCUGCUGUGAUUAGUUCAAUACUUACGGCUCAGUAUAAUUCCAGUUAUAAGGAGAAAUUCAAAGAAUUUAAACGUAUGGUAGGUAUGAGUUUCUGAUUUUUCUAUAUUUAUUUUGUAAUUUUUAUACAUAUAUAAUAUUUAAAGAUUUAGUGACAACUAUCACAUGUGUAAGAAUAUUUCUAUCUCAAAUUACUCAAAUUUUAUUUUGUCGCCUUUUGAUAGAAAUGCAUAAUAAAUAAAGAAAUAAAUAAUCACAUGCAAUAAGGCUUAUUAGAAACGUCGUGAAGUCGCAUUCUUAUCUAAUUUGCAUUGCUAUUAGUUAUAGUGUUUAUUAUAUGUAUUGAGAUUGUUG
Molecule: unclassified non-coding RNA, 642 nt
Filed under: Melitaea cinxia (Glanville fritillary)
Lineage: Eukaryota; Metazoa; Arthropoda; Insecta; Lepidoptera; Nymphalidae
Description: misc RNA ENSMCXG00005000363.1
Source: RNAcentral